CAGAACAUCAGUAGAAAGUUGAAGAAGAAAACACUGUGUGAAGAAACACUUCCUACUCCAUUAGAAAUGAUGGAGUUGGAAAAGUCUCUCCUUGUCCAAAGGCCCUGUUUCACAGGCUGCUUUCCAAGGACUCGCUGACCUUGAUAACUCUAUAGUGGACAUACUGAAGAUAAUAAGCAGCUGGUUUUGCCUGUGUCACAAGUUUUUUGAAAUUUGUGUAUGGAUGACCCAGCUGAAGAAUACUAAUACUGAAUGAAGAUGGAGGACAGAAACUAAGAUGUGUCAGUGGAGCAUAACAAAUCCACAGGAAGGGCUUAGUUUUACCGUAAUUUAUUUGCUACUUUAUUUCUGCAGUAAUUCUAAGCAAAGUUACGUAAGAAAUUAAAUUGUCACAAACACAAUAGAUGCUCAUUAUGAAUCAGAAAAUUAUUCUGAGCCGA
Molecule: long non-coding RNA, 440 nt
Organism: Melozone crissalis (California towhee)
Lineage: Eukaryota; Metazoa; Chordata; Aves; Passeriformes; Passerellidae
Exons: 4
Source: RefSeq, a predicted model, not a curated record